Molecule: ribosomal RNA, 500 nt
Filed under: Salmonella enterica
Lineage: Bacteria; Pseudomonadati; Pseudomonadota; Gammaproteobacteria; Enterobacterales; Enterobacteriaceae
Description: bacterial SSU rRNA
Rfam family: Bacterial small subunit ribosomal RNA
Source: RNAcentral
AAAUUGAAGAGUUUGAUCAUGGCUCAGAUUGAACGCUGGCGGCAGGCCUAACACAUGCAAGUCGAACGGUAACAGGAAGCAGCUUGCUGCUUCGCUGACGAGUGGCGGACGGGUGAGUAAUGUCUGGGAAACUGCCUGAUGGAGGGGGAUAACUACUGGAAACGGUGGCUAAUACCGCAUAACGUCGCAAGACCAAAGAGGGGGACCUUCGGGCCUCUUGCCAUCAGAUGUGCCCAGAUGGGAUUAGCUAGUUGGUGAGGUAACGGCUCACCAAGGCGACGAUCCCUAGCUGGUCUGAGAGGAUGACCAGCCACACUGGAACUGAGACACGGUCCAGACUCCUACGGGAGGCAGCAGUGGGGAAUAUUGCACAAUGGGCGCAAGCCUGAUGCAGCCAUGCCGCGUGUAUGAAGAAGGCCUUCGGGUUGUAAAGUACUUUCAGCGGGGAGGAAGGUGUUGUGGUUAAUAACCACAGCAAUUGACGUUACCCGCAGAAGAAG